GUGAGUAUAGCUCAGUGGUAGAGUGUGUGCUUAGCAUGCACGAGAUCCUGGGUUCAAUCCCCAGUACUGCUA
RNAcentral lists this transfer RNA (72 nucleotides) under Camelus bactrianus (Bactrian camel). It matches the Rfam family "tRNA". From Rfam's summary of the family: Transfer RNA (tRNA) molecules are approximately 80 nucleotides in length. RNAcentral also lists the same sequence under 3 other names. The record is from Rfam by way of RNAcentral. Lineage: Eukaryota; Metazoa; Chordata; Mammalia; Artiodactyla; Camelidae.